Long non-coding RNA from Culex quinquefasciatus (southern house mosquito), 1030 nucleotides. RefSeq lists it as uncharacterized. The record is from RefSeq and is a predicted model, not a curated record. The transcript has 4 exons. NCBI's taxonomy places the organism in Eukaryota, Metazoa, Arthropoda, Insecta, Diptera, Culicidae.
UCAAUCCACGACAGAACUUCGCUGCGGCCGGACUGCUUGGACGGCAGUGCUGUCAGAUUUGGUUGUUAUAAUCACGUGAUUUAGACAAAAGGGCACAAUUCCUCACAACCGGCAGCACUGAAGCGCGAUGCUUGAGCCAAAUUUGUGUGAGUAGGUUUAUGCUGAAUUUAGAUCCCAGUGUCACUCAUUUCUCCUACAUUAUGCUGAAUAACGCACACACACAUAAUCAUCUCUAAGAACAGUGCCGAAUUAGGAAGAGCAUCAACCCCGCCAAAAUGCAACUUUUGUUUGUAAACAAAACCUUUUAACCUCUCUCUCACUGCGAGAGUGUAUCAAAACAACACGCAGUGUGAGUGCCACCGGCAGCAGCAAGCAACACUCAUUCUACCAGUUUUGGCGCGCCGAACAGCUAAAAGACUAAACCGGUACGUGGAUUCGGAUGUCGGUUACAAAACAUCGGAUCCACUAAUGAGAUCGAGAAUUAUUUAACUUAAAAAAUGACACAUCACGGUUAAUCAAGACACGAAGACUAUUUGGAAUGCAAAAUACGACGUGCAAGCGUUCACAACUGCCAAAAGCCGCAAAACCUCAACUGUUGAACAAGGACUGAACAUAUAGAUGAAAAACUAUGUUUAGCAGACGUGGCCAUAUGCUUUCACAAGGAGCACAAGGAGUAUUUAGUAAAAGUUCAGCGAACUUCCGGAAAGAACGCAAAGUAUUCAUCCCAACAAAAAUCUACCGCGAAUGCGUCAGCGAAUAGUAGUGUACGAUCGUCGCGUUCGUCAAUGAGGAACCGGGAAAUAAAACAUCCGGAGGACUUCAUGAUAUCCAUGGAAGAAUUGUGGCAAGUUGCUAAUGAUUCAGUCGGCAACGAGUACCUAGCAUACAUUUCAUUUCUCGUUGAGCAUAGGUUUGGCAUGACGUCCGUAUUAGAGAAGGAUUCUUCUUCGGUAUUUGAAAUUGAUUUCUUCGUUAAUAAGAAAGCAAUGCUGGAUGAGUUAAGGUUUACUGUCAAUUUAGAAAAAGUAAA